RNAcentral lists this ribosomal RNA (347 nucleotides) under uncultured eukaryote. Its description in RNAcentral is "SSU rRNA". It matches the Rfam family "Eukaryotic small subunit ribosomal RNA", at positions 594 to 945 of the family's 1831-position model. The record is from RNAcentral.
AUAGCGUAUAUUAAAGUUGUUGCAGUUAAAAAGCUCGUAGUUGAAUUUUGGACCUGGCUGGGUGGUCUUGCCGAAAGGUAAGCACUGCUCUGGUCGGGUCUUUCCUUCUGGAGAACCAGCGUGCUCUUAACUGGGUGCGCUGGGGAUCCAGGACUUUUACUUUGAAAAAAUUAGAGUGUUUAAAGCAGGCCUACGCUUGAAUACAUUAGCAUGGAAUAAUAGAAUAGGACUUUGGUUCUAUUUUGUUGGUUUCUAGGACCGAAGUAAUGAUUAAUAGGGAUAGUUGGGGGCAUUGGUAUUGAGUCGCUAGAGGUGAAAUUCUUGGAUUGACUCAAGACCAACUAUUG